Zea mays is the source of this 466-nucleotide long non-coding RNA. RefSeq lists it as uncharacterized. The record is from RefSeq and is a predicted model, not a curated record. NCBI's taxonomy places the organism in Eukaryota, Viridiplantae, Streptophyta, Magnoliopsida, Poales, Poaceae. The transcript has 3 exons.
GUAGUACACAAUCAGUUAGUGACCUAAAUAAUGAUCUUAUUCAACUAACUUUAUCUUAUUUUGUAGCCUUGUGCUUCUUUCUACUGAGUUGUCUUGUACCAACUAAAAAUAGAGGUAUUUUAUCUCAGGUUCUCUACUAUGUGUAAUCUCAUAUCAAGAUUAAUGAGUAUCGUGAUCGUAUAAUUUUGAAUCCUAUCAACCCAUAUGGCAAGGCAAAGAAAAUGACAGUGGACAUCAUCCUAGAUUUUACAAAAUCAAAGGAGCAACCAGACAUGGCUGUCAUGAUCUAAGAUACUUCAACGUGAUUGGAUCGAACCCAGACAUAUGACUAGGAGAAGCUCCAAGGCCACUUUGUCAAGGGUCUCUGCAAUGCACCUACUGGUGCAUGAUUUACUGGAGGUUGUGCGCAUGAAUGUGCCACACAUUGGUAUGGGGGUUGGAGUUCAAGCAGGUAAUUUUCACCAAC